Molecule: long non-coding RNA, 658 nt
Filed under: Homo sapiens (human)
Lineage: Eukaryota; Metazoa; Chordata; Mammalia; Primates; Hominidae
Description: HSALNT0332595
Source: RNAcentral
UUGAACUGUAACAGUUUUUCCUUGUUUCUUUCUUUUUUCACCAACUGGGAUCUAAGAUUGACUUACAGAAGCAAGUGCAAGUGCCAAGAAGCCAGGAGCCAUGUCUAUUUUCUUCUCUACAAGUUCUACUCAGUACCUAAUUCAGUGACUAAUACAGAGCAGGAAUUUGACAGAUGCCUGUUGAAUGAAUGACAAUAGGGGAUUUUGGACAGUUGGAUUAAUUUUUCCAUUUAAGAUGAGCAUACUGAAGCCCAGAGACAUUAAGUAACUAGGCUCAUUAGUAGUGACAGUGAUGUUGCCACCAAACUGUAAAGCCAGGAUUUGGACUCAGGCAAGUGACCCCACAGUUGUGUUCUUGAGUGCUCCACCGCAGCAUCACUACAGGAAGUGGACUAGAUUCUCAUGGGCCUUCAGGAUGAUGAAGAAUUCUGGACGAUUUACAGUGGAAAAUCAGGAUUACUGUGGUUUUUGCCUGCUCCUCCCUGUUCUUCCUUCUUUGUUGUUUAGACAAAUUCUAAACGACAGACCUUCAGCUCUCAAAUGCUAGAACCUUGACGAAGAUUUAUAGCCUAUUCUCUUUAGAGUGCCACUUUUCCUUCCUUUCUUAACUGGACUAUGAAUGGCUCUUAUCUACUUUUGUUCUUUUAUUUUUUUCACA